RNAcentral lists this ribosomal RNA (497 nucleotides) under uncultured bacterium. RNAcentral describes it as "partial 16S ribosomal RNA". It matches the Rfam family "Bacterial small subunit ribosomal RNA", at positions 28 to 507 of the family's 1533-position model. The record is from RNAcentral.
GAUGAACGCUGGCGGCGUGCCUAAUACAUGCAAGUCGAGCGAACAGACGAGGAGCUUGCUCCUCUGACGUUAGCGGCGGACGGGUGAGUAACACGUGGAUAACCUACCUAUAAGACUGGGAUAACUUCGGGAAACCGGAGCUAAUACCGGAUAAGAUAUUGAACCGCAUGGUUCAAUAGUGAAAGACGGUUUUGCUGUCACUUAUAGAUGGAUCCGCGCCGCAUUAGCUAGUUGGUAAGGUAACGGCUUACCAAGGCGACGAUGCGUAGCCGACCUGAGAGGGUGGACGGCCCACCUGGAACUGGGACACGGUCCAGGCUCCUACGGGAGGCAGCAGUAGGGAAUCUUCCGCCAUGGGCGAAAGCCUGACGGAGCAACGCCGCGUGAGUGAUGAAGGGCUUCGGAUCGGAAAACUCUGUUAUUAGGGAAGAACAAAUGUGUAAGUAACUAUGCACGUCUUGACGGUACCUAAUCAGAAAGCCACGGCUAACUACGUG